This 250-nucleotide ribosomal RNA is filed under the name uncultured bacterium. RNAcentral describes it as "partial 16S ribosomal RNA". It matches the Rfam family "Bacterial small subunit ribosomal RNA", at positions 524 to 772 of the family's 1533-position model. The record is from RNAcentral.
UACGUAGGGGGCGAGCGUUGUCCGGAUUUAUUGGGCGUAAAGAGCUCGUAGGCGGUUGGGCAAGUCACGUGUGAAAUCUCCACGCUCAACGUGGAGGCGCCACGUGAGACUGCCCUGACUCGAGUCCGGUAGGGGAGUGUGGAAUUCCCGGUGUAGCGGUGAAAUGCGCAGAGAUCGGGAGGAACACCCGUAGCGAAGGCGGCACUCUGGGCCGGUACUGACGCUGAGGAGCGAAAGCGUGGGGAGCAAA